RNAcentral lists this long non-coding RNA (3807 nucleotides) under Carassius auratus (goldfish). Its description in RNAcentral is "lncRNA (ENSCARG00000003871.1)". Lineage: Eukaryota; Metazoa; Chordata; Actinopteri; Cypriniformes; Cyprinidae. The record is from RNAcentral.
AUGACCGUGCGAAGAUACUCCAUUUCGUCAAACUCUGAGAAUGAGAUUUUGCACAAGCCGAGACGAUAUGAGGAGACUGUGAACAACAGCAAAUGGGCAAAACUACAUGAUGGUUCACACAGCCGUCCUUCUAGUGCCUAUUCUAAACCAGAGAUGGAGAAGUUAACCAACAGACAUUCCCUUCAGGAGUACGUCAACAAAAACAGAGCCAAAGUCAAGACGGUAACUUUCCUGUUGCCGGUGGAUGAUAUUUACACAAAUAGACCUGUACUGGCUGAACACCUGUCGGAAAGAAGCACAUGUGAACUCCAAACAAUAGCAGAAACAGACUCGUGAAGCCCAAACUAAUGGCGGGAAAAACCGAAACACCCACAAAACUGAGGCUUGCGAAGCUGACAAAGAGGAAGUGCAGUAUUGCGGUCAAUGCAUCCUGCGGUGAAUUAAUACCCACACCUGACCUCAAUGCUUUGACUCCUGUUACAGAUUUGGUUUCUCAAAUUCAUCCAGCUAAAGAAACUCAAGUCAUCCCAUGGUCUCAUCCGAUGACCUGUCAGUCCCACUCUGUCGUUUGGAUCGGGUGUCUGCUGUGAAGAACCGCUCACUAUACUGAGUUUGGUGCAAUUGUUAGUUCUUUGAAUGAUGAACAAUAUUUACAACAAUUUGUUUUCCACAAAAUCUCCCACUAUUUUAUUCAGCGUUAGCAUGUUCAACUUUAACAUAACAGUUUACUUAAAACCAUGUUUAAAAUUAAUGGUUCUCCCAAAAAUGGAAAUUAAAAGUCUUUUAUAUUUAAUCAUUCUCAAGUUGUACCAAAGCAAAGGAAGAUAUUUUGAAGAAUGUUGGUAACCAGACAGUUAACGAUAACUUUGACUUCCACAGUAUCUUCUUCCCCAAACUACAGAAGUCAGUGGCUCAACUGUUUGAUUAACAAUAUCUUUCUAAAAUAUCUUCUUUUGUGUUCACCAUAAGAAAAUAGAAAUUUGUUCAGGCUGAGUAAUUGAUGAUAGAAUUUUAAUUUUUGGGUGAAAUAUCCCUCUAAAUAAAAGAGUUAUUUAAUCAUGUUAAAAUGUAUUAAAGCAGUGACACUUUUGCUACAAGGAAGAGAAGGCCAAAGGAAGGUUUAUACAUUAUUAUUAUUACUAUUAUUUAGUUAAGAUAAGGAAAAAUCAGCUGUGACAGUCCAAAGGCUCCUUUAUUACACUCCUGAAAUCAAUUAUUGCUCAGGGGUUUACAUCUCUUUUAGAUUUCACUUCUGUUUAACCCAAAGGUAAAACAAAGCCACUUAUUAGUGAAAUUAAUAAAGAGAAAAUAUUCAUACCUAAAGCCUAAAAACAGAAAUAUUUAUCUCAUAGACUAUUUGAGGUGUAGAAAACACUUCAAUAAUAAUUUAGUAUAUGACCAUGAACUUGUCUCUGACAUACAUUUUCCAUAUUAACAGCUUAUGUCAUUAUAUUAGACUCUGUAGAGUAUUGGAAACAUCUGGGCUCCAGAAACGGGUCAGAAUAACAAGCAGAACCUAGUGUGAACAUGUUUGCUGGGUUUAUCAGCUGAAGGUUUCUUAUUCUCUGUCUUGUUGUGUGUGUUGUCCUUCGUGAGCUCCGAGGGCUCGUCCUCACUGUAAAGACUCCCGUAACUCUCAGAAUCUCGUGGCUUACCUAUUAGCGAAUAAAGUAGUCAAAGUGAAAAAGCAAUGUCAGUGCACCCUUUUGUUAUCAAUAAAACUUACUUUUUUUAAAACCGUUGUAUUAAAUAGUGUUAUUUCUACUGUACUGUAUGGUGAUACCUGUUAUAGUGCUAUGCUCAGGUUCAGUAAAUCGUGUGGGAGGUUUGCUCUCUGUUGGACUAUCUCCAUAUUUCAUUGGUACCAUUGGAAAACUGUCUGCUUUCUGCAGUCUCUGGGUAGCUUUGAGGGAGAGAUAGAUGAGGAAGAAAACAGAGGACAAUAACAAAUAGAAAAUCAUAACAUCAUUUAUGUUUUAUGUACGCAAUAUUUUUUAAUAAUAAAAUGAAUCUAAAAUUAUUCUGUCAAUCUAAAAAUGUUGACAGAAAGCAUUUACAGAACAUACUGUAUAUUUGUAACAAAACGGGUCAUACAAAUGUGCCACUUGUUUUUCUCAACAAAGGGUCUGUGAAAGCAGGUACUUGACAGAAAUGGGGUUAAACUAAAUAUUAUGUGCUUUUUUAUGUUUAUUUUAUUUUAAAGGGACAAUUCACCCAAAAUUUUAAACAAAAAGAUAUUUUGAAGAAUGUAGGUAACCAAACAAUUGCAGUUGCAGAUUUUUUCAUGCAAUGGAAGUCAGUGGGGACCAGCAAAUGUUUGUUUACCAACAUAUUUUCCAAAUAUCUUAUUUUGUGUUCAGCAGAGAAAAGAAAUUCAAACAGGUUUGGAACAACUUAAGGGUGAGUUGAUUUUUGGAUGAACUAUCGCUUUAACUUUGCAACCCUGAUACCAAAUCUUGAAUGCAGGUUACCCUGAUGUACAGUGAUGUGAUUCAAACUAGUUACUGUUAAUACUGUUAUAAAUAAUAAUAUACAGUGGUGGCCAAAAUUAUUAAAGCACUUGGCAGAAUUUAAGAGGUUCCAGUUGGUUUUGUUGUACGUAUUGGCUAUUACAGCAUAAAACAAACUAUUCCUGGAACUACCUUUGAUGAAAGCAAUCUGCUGGAACAUUGAAAGUGAUGGGCUGGCCCCCACAAAGUCUGGACCUCAACCCCAUCGAGCAAAUUUGUGGCGAGUUGGAAAAUAAACUGGAAAGAUCUUUUGUACUUUGAAAGAAAAGCCUUUGGCCUUAGUUGCAGAAGGCAUGGGAUAAUAUUAGUGUUGAAGGAAAUGCACUGACACUAUGCCAGAAAGAUGAGCUGCGGUGAUUGCUGUAAAACAGUGGACAUUCCAAAUAUUAAAGUUAAAAGUGUAUAAACAGUACAACUCACUUCAUCUGAUAUUUGUUGUGCUCAGAGCAACCAUCUGUAUGUUUCAUGAACAUUAUGAAAUGGAACCAUGUUUUGGAGGCAAAAAGGGUAAGUGUUUUCAGAUCUGUCAUGUGUUCCAAUACAUAAAAUAAUCAGAUAUAUUUAAUACAACAUAAAAUAGUUUAUCUAACAUAUAAAGUUCUCCCACUAAAUUAUGGGAUUUCUGUCCUCAUUAAAGCCCAAAGUAUAUUUUGUUUUUGUUACACUUGUGUACUGUGUUUACUUUGAUAAAACAGCUUGGACCAGUGCUGCCACCUUGUAGAACAACUGAUUAGUGCAAAACUAAGCCAAUGUGCAUGUGUGGUCUGUGCAUACAAAGAAUGCGUAGUUAAAAAAAUCAGGUGGUGCACGUACAAUACCCACAAAAUAGUCUUGUGACAAAUUCUGUGUGCACCCUCGCACAAAAACGAAAGUAUACUUUGGGCUUAAAGGGUUAGAUAGUGUAACAUAUUUUUUUAAGAAAAAUGCAUUGAUUCGCAACAGGAGGCCUUUCUUCACCCCCCGGAGCCGUGAUAGCGACUUUUUUUAAUGGAUGGGCGCUUUUUUUUCUUUUUAUUUCACUUCUUUUGGACUGAAGCAAUGCAACACCUGCUGACUGCAAUAAUAGAGAUUGAAAGAUCAAAGACAAUUUUUAAUAUAACUCUUACUGGAUUGGUCUGAAAAAAGGAAGUCAAAUACACCUCUGGGGUGAAUAAAACACAUCCUUAUUUUCAUUUUUGGAUGAACUAACACUUUAACCCUUAUGCGUUGUUGGGGACAUUUUCGUCAACUAGGGGGUAAAGUUGAGUCUUAUUUUGGCCACAGCUCUGUUUUAGCAAAUUGAAUGAUUUUUGGUGAC